This 490-nucleotide ribosomal RNA is filed under the name uncultured bacterium. RNAcentral's name for it is "partial 16S ribosomal RNA". It matches the Rfam family "Bacterial small subunit ribosomal RNA", at positions 30 to 507 of the family's 1533-position model. The record is from RNAcentral.
AUUGAACGCUGGCGGCAGGCCUAACACAUGCAAGUCGAACGGUAACAGGAAGCAGCUUGCUGCUUUGCUGACGAGUGGCGGACGGGUGAGUAAUGUCUGGGAAACUGCCCGAUGGAGGGGGAUAACUACUGGAAACGGUAGCUAAUACCGCAUAACGUCGCAAGACCAAAGAGGGGGACCUUAGGGCCUCUUGCCAUCGGAUGUGCCCAGAUGGGAUUAGCUAGUAGGUGGGGUAACGGCUCACCUAGGCGACGAUCCCUAGCUGGUCUGAGAGGAUGACCAGCCACACUGGAACUGAGACACGGUCCAGACUCCUACGGGAGGCAGCAGUGGGGAAUAUUGCGCAAUGGGCGCAAGCCUGAUGCAGCCAUGCCGCGUGUAUGAAGAAGGCCUUCGGGUUGUAAAGUACUUUCAUCGGGGAGGAAGAGAGUAAAGUUAAUACCUUUGCUCAUUGACGUUACCCGCAGAAGAAGCACCGGCUAACUCCGUG